Molecule: long non-coding RNA, 2047 nt
Filed under: Homo sapiens (human)
Lineage: Eukaryota; Metazoa; Chordata; Mammalia; Primates; Hominidae
Description: HSALNT0308606
Source: RNAcentral
UGGAGUCUGAUGACCAAGGGCAGGAAGCAUCCAGCACGGGACAAAGAAGAAAGCCAGAAGACUCAGCAAGCCAGCUCAUCUCACUUUCUUCUGCCUACUUUGUUGUAGCUGAGCUGGCAGCCAGUUGGAUGGUGCACACUCACAUUGAGGAUUGGGAGGCUGCUGUGUAUGGAUAAGAUACCUGCUACAGCCAGCUUGACACCAUGAGAAGGACAAGAGAAUUGCAGAGACACAUAUCCAGGAUUCUGAUCCAGUUGAGGCACUGAAAUAAUCUAGAACCACCUUCAAAUUUCUUAUAAAGAGAGAGCUCCUCCACUCUCUUCAGCAGUCAUCUGUGAAUCAGACUCCAGAUAUCUAUUGUAGAAUUUACACCAAGCAUAAAUUAAAUAAAAGAACUUCUGAAAGUUUCAAACCUGAAACAGAAAUGGCUUAAAAAAAUAUGUUCAUGAUAGGUCACUUGGUUUGAGUGGCUUAACAGAAGAAAACUCGAUUGAAAACAUUCGCCGGAGAUGGUGUUUUAUGCUAUGCUAUUAGGAUUUAAUUAAAUGGAUGCCAACAGCAAGUAAACCAUCUCCAAAGAUGCCAUGAAGCUCUCCUAAUUGCAGGAAAAUAUCAGAGGCACUUGAUUUGAGUCUUUCAAGUACGGAAAUAACAAAUUCAGUCUCAACAGACCUAUAGUGAAUGAGAAUGAUUGUCACAUAAUGUGUAGAGAAAAUGGAAGAAUCAAAGGCAAGGGAAACCUGUACAGUGGAGACACAAAGGGUCACUGGCAGAUUUCAAAUGAUCCAAGACAUCCUCAAGGAAGAUUUACCACAAGUUACUUUAUCAUAGCUUUGAGUGGCAUUUUAAUAUCAUAUUUUAAAAGAAAGAAAACAAUAGAAAUGUAUUAAAAUAUCUUCUCAAGAAUCCUUCCAAACCACAAGGAAAAUCACCAGGCCAAAAGUGAGGUUUGAAGUCUGGACAUGUACUGGUUUUCUCUAGCAAUCGACUCUCAAUUUUUGGACAUUGAGAUCUGCUGGUUGGAGAUCUUAGUGCCCAAGGAAGAAUGCUUGCAAAAGGAGAUGGAACAGUGUUUCUGUUGCAUUGGCCACUGAGAAUAUCUGGUUAUUUUGAAUUUGUCACAGUCUGCAGCUAAAAGGCGAACAGGAAAAGAAGAGAGAGCGGUAAUUUGAAUGAUAGCAGAUUUCACAUCAGGAACCAAUGAAGCUAGAUAAGAAUGCAACAUCUUUGAUGUCUAAAAGAAACAAAAAGCCAACCUUGAAUUCUUUAUUUAGUGAAGUUACCCUUCAGAAAUGACGGCAAAAUAAAGAUGUUUUCCAAUAAAAGACAACUAUGAGAAUUCUUCACCAGCAGUCCUAUUGUAUCAGAACAGCCAAAAGAAGUUUGUCAGCCUACAGGGAAUUAUAUCAAAGGGAAGACUUGACCUUGAAAAUGAAUGAGGAAUAUAAGAAAUUGAUAUUAUCUGGGAAGCGGCACAUGAGACUAGCAGGAGUAAAUGUUAUAUACACUGGGCCUCGCAAAAAUUCUGCAAUCACUGGGAAUCAGUAACCUGGUAGAAUGAGAAAACAACGUAAUACUGAAAAAUCAAAACACCAUCCUACAGAACUUUGAUGCAUUCAGAACAAAGAUCACGAAUCAAGCUGAAAAAGUAAAGCAUUCUGUGAGUUGUGGAAUGGAAAUUGCCUCAACCAUCUCACCACUUGAUGACACUUGUAAUUUCAGUGACCCAAUUCAAGCAAUCAAACAUCAAGUAAUACUCUCAAUAAAGAUGUGUAAUUAAAACAGAAGAGGAAACAGACUAACAGAAGUGAUGAAGAAUGGCAGUUCUAAGGAUGGCAGGAAUUCACUGAAUGUCUAUCUAUCAUGUAUGCUGUUGGAGGCACCUGUCUUUCAGUUCAGAGGUUAUGGAUGUAUCUAUCAUCAGUAUUUCGGGAAGUCAGGGACCCGGAACAGAGGGACUUAAUGAAGCUGUGGCAGAAGAAAAAAUUAUGAAGAUUUCAUGGACAUUUAUUAGUUCCCCAAAUUAAUACUUUUAUAAUUUCUUACA